CUGCGGAGCGCCGGCGCCUGCGCACUGGUACGAAAGGGGGCUCGUGCUCAACUCGCGCGCUAGCCGUCCGACUCGCCUUGCCUCGCUCUCAACUCGCCAGAUUUCUGAUCCCCGCCAUGGACGAGGCUGAGACGGACGCCACGGAAAACAAGCGCGCCUCUGAGGCCAAGCGAGCCUCAGCCAUGCCGCCACCGCCACCGCCUCCGCCUCCCAUCUCUCCGCCCGCCCUCAUCCCGGCACCCGCGGCCGGCGAGGAGGGCCCGGCGUCCCUGGGCCAGGCGGGCGCUGCCGGCUGCUCUCGCUCUCGGCCCCCGGCGUUGGAGCCCGAGCGCAGCCUGGGCCGCUUGAGAGGCCGCUUCGAGGACUACGAUGAAGAGUUGGAAGAGGAGGAGGAGAUGGAGGAGGAAGAAGAGGAGGAGGAAGAGAUGAGCCACUUCUCUCUGCGUCUGGAGUCCGGACGGGCAGACUCCGAGGACGAGGAGGAGCGCCUGAUAAACCUUGUCGAGCUGACCCCCUACAUCCUGUGUUCGAUUUGCAAAGGUUACCUGAUAGAUGCAACCACCAUUACAGAGUGUCUUCAUACCUUUUGUAAAAGCUGCAUUGUGAGACAUUUUUACUAUAGUAACAGAUGCCCAAAAUGCAACAUAGUUGUCCACCAGACUCAGCCUCUUUAUAAUAUAAGGUUGGACCGGCAGUUACAAGACAUAGUAUACAAAUUAGUGAUCAAUCUAGAGGAAAUAAUUUAGUCUGUGUUUUAUCAUUUUUUUAGGAGAAAAAAAGCAAAUGCAUGACUUCUAUAAAGAAAGAGGUCUAGAAGUCCCCAAGCCUGCUGCUCCACAGCCAGUCCCUUCAAGCAAAGGAAAAACCAAGAAGGUCCUAGAGUCAGUGUUUCGUAUUCCACCUGAACUUGAUAUGUCUUUAUUACUUGAGUUCAUUGGUGCUAAUGAAGACACCGGACAUUUUAAGGUAUUUCAUUUUUUGUUUACUUUAUAAGAGGAUUCUGUAGGUAUAAAUUCUGAAUCAGAUUAGCAACCAAGUAGAAAUUAUCUUCAAUUAAAAUAUAAAUGUUUGACAAGUUACUGAAAUUCAACAGUAAUACUAUAGUAGUUUCUCAGAGUAAGAAACAUUGACUAGGGACUUGUUACUGAUUCAAAGAAGUGAAGUAAGGAAAAUAAGUAAUUUACAAAGCCACAUGCCCCAUUGAUUGGUAAUUUUUUUUUUAUAUUUUAGUUUUUGGAGACAGGUUCCUUCUGGCCUUGAACUUAUUAGCCAUGGAUUACUUGGAAUUCUUCAUCCUCCUGCCUCUACCUUCUAAGUGCUAUAGCUACAAGCAUGUCCCACUAGGCCUGAUUUUAAUGUGGUAAUUUAAAAAAAUUCUAAGAGUCAGAUGUGGUAUAACUACUCUAGAGGCUGAAAAAGAGGAUCAAAAAUUCAAGGCCAGCCUGGGCUAUUGUAGUGAGACCAGUCUCAAAAAAAAAAAAAAAAAUUCAAAGUGCUUUUGUGUAGUUGGUGCUUAGAGUUUAACAUGAAUUUAAACUUGUAUAUUUAACAUUUUUGGCUGAAGUUAACCUGCCUUAACUUGUCACUUCAAGCAUUCACUGAGAUUUGAGGUAAGAACUACUUUGUAUUAUACUUUGUCAGUUGUUGAGAUAAAUAGCAAGCUAGAGACACCUACGAAAGUAAAAUCUCUGUGAUACAGACUCUGAUUACUUUUAUUAAGGAAAGGUCAGGGUUGUUUCGUUUGUGGCAUCUAUUUGAAGAGUUUUUUGUUUGUUUUUUGGUGUUUUUUUUUUGUUGUUGUUGUUGGGUUUUUUUUGUUUUUUGUUUUGUUUUGUUUUGAGAUGGGGUUUCUCUGUGUAGCCCUGGCUGUCCUGGAACUCACUCUGUAGACCAGGCUGGCCUUGAACUCAGAAAUCUGCCUCUUUCUGCCUCCCAAGUGCUGGGAUUAAAGGUGUUGGCCACCACCACUGGCUUUUUCGAGAGUUUUAAGGGAAAACCCAUGGCUGUAGAAGUCCCAACACACAAGGCUCAGCUGCCCACCCUAGUGUGACAUUUAGAGAGAUGAAUGGUUGAUGCAAUACUUAACUUGCCUAGCGUGCGUGAAGCCCUAGGUUCAUAAAUGGAGUGUGUUGCAUAUUCUAUGAGUCCAGCACUUGUGAGAUACACGUCAAGUUCAAAGUCAUCGUGGAUUACAGGAGACUCUGAAAAAGAUAUAUUGAUGGAAAACAUUAGAAAGAGGUUUAAUCAGUAUUGCCACAGCAGGAAGAGGAGCAGAUAAAGAGGUUCCAUGACUCAAGUUUGUCUUUAGGUCACUGGCAUAGUUUUUUGUAGUGGUGAAGGUUAAUUGUGUUUUUCAAACAGGUUCUGAUUCUGUAACCUAGGCUAACCUGGAAUUCAUGUAUCCUCAUCUGGCCUUGGAUCCAUGGCAGUCUGCCUGCCUCAGUCUCUGUCUCUGAGUGCCAAUGUUCUAUGUGUGAGUCACCGUGCCUGGCAACUUUAGAUUUAAAUAGAAGAGCUGCUGGGGCAGGAGGCAGCAGGAAUGUACAAUGAUCAAAUUUUGACCAAACUGUGACCUGAUGGGUCAUUAUCUUAGUUCUGGCUCUUGAAGGUGGUUCAGAGCAGUUUUAAUGUCUGCGGAGACAGACAGUUCAGUUCCUGAGAUGAUUGAUACUCUCUGGCUGGAGAUGUCCUCACAGUGGGGUGAUCUUCUGAGGCUCUGCUGUGUCUAGAAAUCUAAGGCGACUGCCCUUUUACUGGAGACCUUCCAAUGCCUCUGAGGAUCCUAGAACAGUUAUUAUAAGAUGGCAGCAGGAGCAGGGGAGGUGCUCAGCAGGCAGAACCCAGAGCAUUCUUGCCAGCACCACACUCUGUAACUCAAGCCACCUGUGACUAGAUUUAUUCUCAUUUUAAAAUUUAAAAAGAAAAACUUCUCUCCCUCUCCCUCCUUCUCCCUCCUCUCCUCCUCUCUUUUCCUUUUUACUCUUUGGAGAUAGGCUUGUGGCUUAGGCUGUCCUUAGCUCAUAGCAGUUUUCCUCUCUCAGCCCCUGGAAUACUGGGAUCACAGGUGUGAGCUACCAUGCCUUGCUUAAAAAGCAAGUGUCCAGACUGUCUCAGCUCUUAGACUUAAGUAAAAACCCCCUGCCUCAGUCUCUCUAGCCGAAACUGCAGACAUGUCUUACCUUGCUGUGGAGUUAGUACUCAAGAGAUCCUCCUGUGUUGCCUUCCCAAGUAGUUGGAACGACAAGCAGGCACUGCAGUGGCUUGGACAGGAUGCCAACCGUCAGCUUAGGCUGAUCGUGAAUUUACAGUCUUCCUGCCUCCCCCUGUCAAGGGUUAGGAUGUCAGGCAUGUCCCAUUGUAUCGGGUGUUUUGUUUUACAUGAGCUUUAAAGUUAACUAACACGCCUUUCUAUUACAAAGUUUGUUGGUAUGUAUCUAAAAGAUUUCCAGAAUUUCUACUUUUUUUAGACUACAAAUUGACUCAAAAUCAUAAAAUCAUCUUUGCUUUAAAAUCUGCUCUAUAAAAUAGCUUGUACGUUUUAUGUAUGUAUACAUUUACAUAAUCUGAAAAGUCUUCUCUGUUUCUGCAGCCAUUGGAAAAGAAGUUUGUGCGUGUUUCAGGAGAAGCAACUAUCGGGCAUGUAGAAAAAUUUCUUAGAAGAAAAAUGGGUCUUGAUCCAGCUUGUCAGGUAGAUAUCAUCUGUGGGGAUCACUUACUGGAGCGGUACCAAACUCUACGGGAAAUCCGACGUGCAAUAGGUGAUACAGCAAUGCAGGACGGUCUGCUUGUUCUUCAUUAUGGUCUUGUGGUUUCUCCUUUGAAAAUAACUUGAAGAUGCAAAGGUAUAUGAGGAGAGAAACCCAGUCGGAGGCAUCUGCAUAUCUGCAUUGCACCAAAGAUUCUCACAAAGCACGUAACUACGACUACUUUCCGCUGUUAAGAGCUGGCUUCUGUUGUCACCAGAACCCUAGCAUUGUGUGUGUACAACUUGAAACAAUAGAAUGUAUUUGCUACACUAAAGACUAUGGAAACAGCACUCAUAACUCAGGGGAAAAAACUGAAAACACUGAAUUUUAAAAUUCCUUGUGAUUCCAAAUAUGAGGAAGUUGCUGGUUGCUUCCCAUCUUUGAGGUGGGUGGGUCAGUUUCCCAGAGCUGGGACUCUGCCCUCCAGCUGCAUGGGCUGGGUGGUUUCCUUCAGAACAGCUUUGCUUUGAGUUCAGAGCCAGUCUGUUAAACCUCGGGUGCGCUCCGCACCGAAACUACUGGCCACUUACAAGUUCCUGUCCUAUUCUGAACUUCAAACAAAAUUCCACUGAUACCACUAAAGCCCUGUUCCUCAGCUCUGAGGCUGAGACUGUCUCCUGUUAGAAAUGGCUCUUCUUAACUAACAUCCCUUAAACAAAUAUGAGGUGCUUCUUUCUGAUGGGACACUGGGUCAGGUGUCACAAAAUUCCCUCAGUGUGGCUGUGAAUGAUGGCACUGCUUCUAACAGUAGCAACAAAUUUCAGGUGAAUGACCAGAAGUUUACAGAACCCUUAUUGUUCCUCAGUCACUUAAAUGAUCUGGUUCCAUGUUAAUGUUUCUGUUUUCUUGCCAUUUGGAUAAAGAAUGAGAGUCUUUGAGAACCUUGCUUUCACAGAGACUUCAUUGUAAACAUUACUUUGCCUAAAAUUAGCAUCCUGAUGCUUUCUAAAAUACAUAUUUUAUAGACUUCAUAGCAAAAUUUCCAAAUCUGUACAGAAAUUUAAAAAAUUAGACUUAAAUUGGCGAUUGUUUUUGUAAAGAAUUUAUGAACUGUACAUAAAUCUCUUCUGACAUUUAAUAAAAAUUUAUUUUAGCCAA
Molecule: RNA transcript, 4844 nt
Organism: Mus musculus (house mouse)
Lineage: Eukaryota; Metazoa; Chordata; Mammalia; Rodentia; Muridae
Gene: Pcgf6
Gene name: polycomb group ring finger 6
Exons: 9
Source: RefSeq, marked validated